Molecule: ribosomal RNA, 468 nt
Filed under: uncultured bacterium
Lineage: Bacteria
Description: partial 16S ribosomal RNA
Rfam family: Bacterial small subunit ribosomal RNA
Source: RNAcentral
GACGAACGCUGGCGGCGUGCUUAACACAUGCAAGUCGAACGGAAAGGCCCUGCUUUUGUGGGGUGCUCGAGUGGCGAACGGGUGAGUAACACGUGAGUAACCUGCCCUUGACUUUGGGAUAACUUCAGGAAACUGGGGCUAAUACCGGAUAGGAGCUCCUGCUGCAUGGUGGGGGUUGGAAAGUUUCGGCGGUUGGGGAUGGACUCGCGGCUUAUCAGCUUGUUGGUGGGGUAGUGGCUUACCAAGGCUUUGACGGGUAGCCGGCCUGAGAGGGUGACCGGGCACAUUGGGACUGAGAGACGGCCCAGACUCCUACGGGAGGCAGCAGGGGGGAAUAUGGCACAAUGGGCGGAAGCCUGAUGCAGAAACGCCGCGUGCGGGAUGACGGCCUUCGGGUUGUAAACCGCUUUCGCCUGUGACGAAGCGUGAGUGACGGUAAUGGGUAAAGAAGCACCGGCUAACUACGUG